RNAcentral lists this microRNA (24 nucleotides) under Oryza sativa (Asian cultivated rice). RNAcentral describes it as "osa-miR7694-5p". The record is from miRBase by way of RNAcentral. Lineage: Eukaryota; Viridiplantae; Streptophyta; Magnoliopsida; Poales; Poaceae.
AACCUAGUACUGGAUUAGUCACCA